AAAUCUUGUAAUCCCUGUGAGACCACCUGUGGCGAAGGCGUCUUACCAGAACGGGUUCGACGGUGAGGGACGAAAGCUGGGGGCACGAACCGGAUUAGAUACCCGGGUAGUCCCAGCCGUAAACUAUGCUCGCUAGGUGUCAGGCAUGGCGCGACCGUGUCUGGUGCCGCAGGGAAGCCGUGAAGCGAGCCACCUGGGAAGUACGGCCGCAAGGCUGAAACUUAAAGGAAUUGGCGGGGGAGCACAACAACGGGUGGAGCCUGCGGUUUAAUUGGACUCAACGCCGGACAACUCACCGGGAACGACAGCAAUAUGUAGGCCAGGCUGAAGACCUUGCCUGAAUCGCUGAGAGGAGGUGCAUGGCC
RNAcentral lists this ribosomal RNA (365 nucleotides) under uncultured Methanosarcina sp. RNAcentral's name for it is "bacterial SSU rRNA". It matches the Rfam family "Archaeal small subunit ribosomal RNA", at positions 635 to 999 of the family's 1478-position model. Lineage: Archaea; Methanobacteriati; Methanobacteriota; Methanomicrobia; Methanosarcinales; Methanosarcinaceae. The record is from RNAcentral.